AGAUGACGAGCGGCGGACGGGUGAGUAAUACUUAGGAAUCUACCUAGUAGUGGGGGAUAGCUCGGGGAAACUCGAAUUAAUACCGCAUACGACCUACGGGAGAAAGGGGGCAACUUGUUGCUCUCGCUAUUAGAUGAGCCUAAGUCGGAUUAGCUAGAUGGUGGGGUAAAGGCCUACCAUGGCGACGAUCUGUAGCUGGUCUGAGAGGAUGAUCAGCCACACCGGGACUGAGACACGGCCCGGACUCCUACGGGAGGCAGCAGUGGGGAAUAUUGGACAAUGGGGGAAACCCUGAUCCAGCCAUGCCGCGUGUGUGAAGAAGGCCUUUUGGUUGUAAAGCACUUUAAGCAGUGAAGAAGACUCCAUGGUUAAUACCCAUGGACGAUGACAUUAGCUGCAGAAUAAGCACCGGCUAACUCUGUGCCAGCAGCCGCGGUAAUACAGAGGGUGCAAGCGUUAAUCGGAAUUACUGGGCGUAAAGGGAGCGUAGGUGGCUCGAUAAGUCAGAUGUGAAAUCCCCGGGCUCAACCUGGGAACUGCAUCUGAUACUGUUGAGCUAGAGUAUGUGAGAGGAAGGUAGAAUUCCAGGUGUAGCGGUGAAAUGCGUAGAGAUCUGGAGGAAUACCGAUGGCGAAGGCAGCCUUCUGGCAUAAUACUGACACUGAGGCUCGAAAGCGUGGGUAGCAAACAGGAUUAGAUACCCUGGUAGUCCACGCCGUAAACGAUGUCUACUAGUCGUUGGGUCCCUUGAGGACUUAGUGACGCAGCUAACGCAAUAAGUAGACCGCCUGGGGAGUACGGCCGCAAGGUUAAAACUCAAAUGAAUUGACGGGGGCCCGCACAAGCGGUGGAGCAUGUGGUUUAAUUCGAUGCAACGCGAAGAACCUUACCUGGUCUUGACAUAUCUAGAAUCCUGCAGAGAUGCGGGAGUGCCUUCGGGAAUUAGAAUACAGGUGCUGCAUGGCUGUCGUCAGCUCGUGUCGUGAGAUGUUGGGUUAAGUCCCGCAACGAGCGCAACCCUUGUCCUUAGUUACCAGCGGGUUAAGCCGGGAACUCUAAGGAUACUGCCAGUGACAAACUGGAGGAAGGCGGGGACGACGUCAAGUCAUCAUGGCCCUUACGACCAGGGCUACACACGUGCUACAAUGGUAGGUACAGAGGGCAGCUACACAGCGAUGUGAUGCGAAUCUCAAAAAGCCUAUCGUAGUCCGGAUUGGAGUCUGCAACUC
Molecule: ribosomal RNA, 1229 nt
Filed under: Psychrobacter sp. DAB_AL60
Lineage: Bacteria; Pseudomonadati; Pseudomonadota; Gammaproteobacteria; Moraxellales; Moraxellaceae
Description: bacterial SSU rRNA
Rfam family: Bacterial small subunit ribosomal RNA
Source: RNAcentral